This 432-nucleotide ribosomal RNA is filed under the name uncultured bacterium. Its description in RNAcentral is "bacterial SSU rRNA". It matches the Rfam family "Bacterial small subunit ribosomal RNA", at positions 29 to 507 of the family's 1533-position model. The record is from RNAcentral.
AACGAACGCUGGCGGCAGGCCUAACACAUGCAAGUCGAGCGCCCCGCAAGGGGAGCGGCGGACGGGUGAGUAACGCGUGGGAACGUACCCUUUGCUACGGAAUAGCCUCGGGAAACUGGGAGUAAUACCGUAUGUGCCCUUCGGGGGAAAGAUUUAUCGGCAAAGGAUCGGCCCGCGUUGGAUUAGGUAGUUGGUGGGGUAAUGGCCUACCAAGCCGACGAUCCAUAGCUGGUUUGAGAGGAUGAUCAGCCACACUGGGACUGAGACACGGCCCAGACUCCUACGGGAGGCAGCAGUGGGGAAUCUUAGACAAUGGGCGCAAGCCUGAUCUAGCCAUGCCGCGUGAGCGAUGAAGGCCUUAGGGUUGUAAAAGCUCUUUCAGUGGGGAAGAUAAUGACUGUACCCACAGAAGAAGCCCCGGCUAACUCCGUG